CCUACGGGAGGCAGCAGUGGGGAAUAUUGCACAAUGGGCGCAAGCCUGAUGCGGCAACGCCGCGUGAGGGACGACGGCCUUCGGGUUGUAAACCUCUUUUAGUAGGGAAGAAGCGAAAGUGACGGUACCUGCAGAAAAAGCACCGGCUAACUACGUGCCAGCAGCCGCGGUAAUACGUAGGGUGCAAGCGUUAUCCGGAAUUAUUGGGCGUAAAGAGCUCGUAGGCGGUUUGUCGCGUCUGCUGUGAAAACUGGAGGCUCAACCUCCAGCCUGCAGUGGGUACGGGCAGACUAGAGUGCGGUAGGGGAGAUUGGAAUUCCUGGUGUAGCGGUGGAAUGCGCAGAUAUCAGGAGGAACACCGAUGGCGAAGGCAGAUCUCUGGGCCGUAACUGACGCUGAGGAGCGAAAGCAUGGGGAGCGAACAGGAUUAGAUACCCUGGUAGUCCAUGCCGUAAACGUUGGGGACUAGAUGUAGGGACCAUUCCACGGUUUCUGUGUCGCAGCUAACGCAUUAAGUUCCCCGCCUGGGGAGUACGGCCGCAAGGCUAAAACUCAAAGNGUAAGUGGACGUGAGAGACGCGACGACGACGACGACGGAGGGAGGAG
This 606-nucleotide ribosomal RNA is filed under the name uncultured bacterium. RNAcentral's name for it is "bacterial SSU rRNA". It matches the Rfam family "Bacterial small subunit ribosomal RNA", at positions 338 to 1432 of the family's 1533-position model. The record is from RNAcentral.